This 45-nucleotide non-coding RNA is filed under the name Trichobilharzia regenti. The record is from RNAcentral. Lineage: Eukaryota; Metazoa; Platyhelminthes; Trematoda; Strigeidida; Schistosomatidae.
AUCCAGCUGACUAGUCCCGAACAGAACGAAAUGUUCAUCCCGGAU